AGUGAACGCUGGCGGUAGGCCUAACACAUGCAAGUCGAACGGCAGCACAGUAAGAGCUUGCUCUUACGGGUGGCGAGUGGCGGACGGGUGAGGAAUACAUCGGAAUCUACUUUUUCGUGGGGGAUAACGUAGGGAAACUUACGCUAAUACCGCAUACGACCUACGGGUGAAAGCAGGGGAUCUUCGGACCUUGCGCGAUUGAAUGAGCCGAUGUCGGAUUAGCUAGUUGGCGGGGUAAAGGCCCACCAAGGCGACGAUCCGUAGCGGGUCUGAGAGGAUGAUCAGCCACACUGAAACUGAGACACGGUCCAGACUCCUACGGGAGGCAGCAGUGGGGAAUAUUGGACAAUGGGCGCAAGCCUGAUCCAGCCAUACCGCGUGGGUGAAGAAGGCCUUCGGGUUGUAAAGCCCUUUUGUUGGGAAAGAAAAGCAGCAGGUUAAUACCCCGCUGUUCUGACGGUACCCAAAGAAUAAGCACCGGCUAACUUCG
Molecule: ribosomal RNA, 490 nt
Filed under: uncultured bacterium
Lineage: Bacteria
Description: partial 16S ribosomal RNA
Rfam family: Bacterial small subunit ribosomal RNA
Source: RNAcentral